RNAcentral lists this long non-coding RNA (1380 nucleotides) under Malus domestica (apple). Its description in RNAcentral is "long non-coding RNA (MDOM_LNC015975)". Lineage: Eukaryota; Viridiplantae; Streptophyta; Magnoliopsida; Rosales; Rosaceae. The record is from RNAcentral.
AAAGAUGAACAAAGCUUGACUGCUUAAAACAAAGUAGAAGCUUUUGCUCUUACUCAAUAACAACUUGAUAAGUAUCCAAGUUGUUUGUUCAAGCUUUAAUUUUUUAAUUUUUUUAAACACUUAUCAAGUUGUUGUUGAGUAAGAAUAGAAGCUCUGCUUUUUUGUAACAGCCAACCUUUGUCCAUUAAAGAUUGUACAAGUUUUGCUAAGGGGAGGGAUCGGUGAAGUUUGGUAGUAUCAUAAUGGCAUUUAAUAUAUCGAAGUUUGGUAAUACCAGUGGUCAAAGUCAACAGCUUGGAGCAGUCGCAAUCCAACCGCGGUGACGAGAUCCCCACUAGGAAGACCAGACCUGCUGUUGAAAUAUGUGUUUGCACAGUGCAAUGGAUGCACAUAUGGCCAACAAAACUGCAGAAUUAUUGGAACACAAAAAGACUUGUCAGUUAAAAUCACUACUUUAUAUAUCCGUACGUCCAAGUUCAUCGCCAUACAUAUAUGUGCAUGCAGUAGAGGAAGCAUUCCGUGCACAGUAGUAGUAGUUGUCUCUUCUCUUUUAAGAUACAUCAAUGUACGUACAGGCGUAGCUUUAUAAAUUAUUUAUCAAUGAUAACUGUAAAUAUCUGCCGACUAAUAACUAGUGCACCUCUGCAAUUGGACUGCAUUGAUUUUGUGCGGUGAUCAGUGAGUGUGGGGGGUUGCGAUUAGAUACCCUGUUGUUGUCAUUUUACGGACACAUAUACAUACACUGAUACAAAACCCGAUCAAACAGAGGAUGUGAGGACAAAAAACAAAAGACUGGGAAGGUGACUUGACAGGUUGAUCGCGAUCAAGAAAACAUACGAGGGUCCACUGGCACCGUUUCAUUUAUCCUUCCAUCCGUCCAAACAUCCAUUCAUUUAUUGGGAUGUAUACUUAAUUAAUUAAAAAGUCAAAUAUUUAUUUGACCAUCUGACCAGAGCCAGACCCUGACCUUGCGUAGACUUUCUGACAAACCAUUUAAUGUUGGUGUCUGGGUUGAAAGACCUGCGAGCAACCAAAUUAAGGAGGCCGGGGAUCGACAUCGAUCUUCUAGCUUUUCUCGGAACCCUAGUAAGUAUUAAGAAAGUACUGGAGGGAGCGAUCGAUGGCAUCUUUCUGUUGUUUGUUUUGUCUUUCUCACUGUUCAUUGAUGCCUUUUGUUCGUUUAUUUUUUCUUGUGUCUUUUUUUUUCCCUUACGUUUGACAUAAUUUCCAAAAUAAUAUAUGCAGGCAGGAUACCCGUGAGUUUCAUAAACAGCCGUUCACGUUUAUGUUAGGAUAUUUUUUGAUAUUUUAUGGAUUAGGGGUUUUCUACUAUAAUGAAUGUGAUAUCUGUCGAGCCAAAAAUAAUCAUAAAGCGAUACG